Long non-coding RNA from Corvus hawaiiensis (hawaiian crow), 809 nucleotides. RefSeq lists it as uncharacterized. Lineage: Eukaryota; Metazoa; Chordata; Aves; Passeriformes; Corvidae. The transcript is spliced from 3 exons. The record is from RefSeq and is a predicted model, not a curated record.
UGCCUGGCUGUGGCCCUGUGCCUGAGCCUCCGGGGCUGCCCCAGCCUGCAGGCAGGUGGUGGCUGAGCCCCGGGGCCAUGCCUGAGUUCACCUCUCCAGGCUUCUGCCAGGCUUCCAUUCCCGCUCCUCUGAUGGCUGGAUUUGAUGCACUUAACUCGGUUUGAUGUGUGGGUUGUCUUUGUGGGCAUUUCCCCGUUAAAAAAGAACAAAAAAAAUGGUUUGCAAGAAUUGUUUGCAAAGAAACCCGUGCAAACAGUGUUUACAGAAAUGUGCAGGCAUUUUGCAUGUUGGCAAAAGGUGUGUGUUCAUACCUGGGUGGAGGUGUGGGGUGAGCUCAGCUGUGGGGCUGGUGCUGCUCAAAGUAAAAAGGGGGAGGUGGUGGGCAAGAGCUCCCACAUGAGUCUGGGUUUGGCUCAUUCCCCGUGGCUGGAUGAGCACUCAGACCCCUGGGCUUGGUGUUCAACCACCCCAUGGGGAUGCCUGCCCUGCACUCCACUUCCCCACCAGUACCCCCUCAUCUCAGGGAGGGGCAGCUCAUGGAAAUGCCCACCCUUACGCUCCCUGUGCCCUGAGCCUUGGGGUGCCCCUUCCCUUCUUCCCAUCCUCCGGUCACUUAUUUAUUUAUUUAUUUAUUUAUUUAAGUUAUUUAUUGGUAUUUAUUGACAACUGGAAGUCGGGAGUGGAAGAGUGAGAACAAAAGUCAGCCCAGAGACCAACUGUUCCUAUCUUCUAGUCAAAAUAAUACAUGGGAAUAAUACAGAGUUUCAUAACAAAGGUUCAUUUAAAAGCCAUUUGGGGAAAUAUGCCAA